This 254-nucleotide ribosomal RNA is filed under the name uncultured bacterium. RNAcentral's name for it is "partial 16S ribosomal RNA". It matches the Rfam family "Bacterial small subunit ribosomal RNA", at positions 524 to 776 of the family's 1533-position model. The record is from RNAcentral.
UACGAAGGGGGCUAGCGUUGCUCGGAAUCACUGGGCGUAAAGCGCACGUAGGCGGACUCUUAAGUCGGUGGUGAAAUCCUGGAGCUCAACUCCAGAACUGCCUUCGAUACUGGGAGUCUCGAGUCCGGGAGAGGUGAAGUGGAACUGCGAGUGUAGAGGUGAAAUUCGUAGAUAUUCGCAAGAACACCAGUGGCGAAGGCGGCUCACUGGCCCGGUACUGACGCUGAGGUGCGAAAGCGUGGGGAGCAAACAGG